RNAcentral lists this ribosomal RNA (199 nucleotides) under uncultured bacterium. RNAcentral's name for it is "partial 16S ribosomal RNA". It matches the Rfam family "Bacterial small subunit ribosomal RNA", at positions 1303 to 1500 of the family's 1533-position model. The record is from RNAcentral.
GGCUGCAACUCGCCUACAUGAAGUUGGAAUCGCUAGUAAUCGCGAAUCAGAAUGUCGCGGUGAAUACGUUCCCGGGUCUUGUACACACCGCCCGUCACACCACGAGAGUUUACAACACCCGAAGUCAGUGGCCUAACCGCAAGGAGGGAGCUGCCUAAGGGUGGGGUAGAUGAUUGGGGUGAAGUCGUAACAAGGUAUC